Molecule: long non-coding RNA, 735 nt
Organism: Beta vulgaris subsp. vulgaris (sugar beet)
Lineage: Eukaryota; Viridiplantae; Streptophyta; Magnoliopsida; Caryophyllales; Amaranthaceae
Exons: 2
Source: RefSeq, a predicted model, not a curated record
CUGAAAAAUAUCUAAAAUACCCUUUGUCUCAAAACCCAUUUCUCUCUCUAACUACUACUCUCUCCAUCUUCCCUCUUCGAGUCUUCGUCCUCUUCGUCCUCAAAUUGGGGCGAUUUCCAUAGAUUUCCAUUAUUCUCUCUCCUUCUCUCCAUUAUUCUCCUUUCUCCCUCUUUCUCCAUAGAUUUUUCAUUCGAUGAAUAUCAAAGUAUCACUUGGGCGAUUUCCAUGAGUGAUUGUGUUCUUGGCUUCGUUAAAUGCGAAUUGGGUGUCCAUUUUAACCAAAUUUCACGACUUUGUGUGUUCUUGGCUUCGUGCAAUGCGAAUUGGGUGCCCAUUUUAACCAAAUUUCAUGACUUUGGAGCAAAUCGUGGUACGAAAAGCUCACAGAUGUUUGAGUGAUAAACAUGGUGGCCCACAUUACAAUUUGGCCCUUGGAGGAUAGGAAAAUUCAUGUUAUCACUCCUGAAUCCUGACUGCAGAACUGAAUACUUGGAUGAUAACCUUAAGGGAGUUCUGUUUGAGGAAAAUUGAGAACAGACUCUAUCACUAGCUUAAUCAACAAAUUUCCUUUUUGUUUACUGUAAAGGAAAUGUUGUUCCUUAACCUUUAAGUUUCAUUGGUGUUUGUUUAGUUUCCACUUUCCACUAUACUUUGUUUAUUAUCUGGUUUUCACUAUGUAUAAACUCAGUUGGUAUGCUUUUGAAGUAAUGGCAUGAAGUAAAACUGUUAGAUAUA